Molecule: non-coding RNA, 27 nt
Filed under: Homo sapiens (human)
Lineage: Eukaryota; Metazoa; Chordata; Mammalia; Primates; Hominidae
Source: RNAcentral
UGCGGAUUGCCUGAUGAGCACGGCUCC